RNAcentral lists this transfer RNA (68 nucleotides) under Marmota monax (woodchuck). Its description in RNAcentral is "tRNA.Ala". The stretch from base 5 to 65 matches the Rfam family "tRNA", at positions 6 to 65 of the family's 71-position model. From Rfam's summary of the family: Transfer RNA (tRNA) molecules are approximately 80 nucleotides in length. Their secondary structure includes four short double-helical elements and three loops (D, anti-codon, and T loops). Lineage: Eukaryota; Metazoa; Chordata; Mammalia; Rodentia; Sciuridae. The record is from RNAcentral.
GGUUUGUAGCUCAGUGGUAGAGCGCUCGCCUAGCAUGUGUUAGGCCUUGGGUUCGAUCCUCAGCACCA